RNAcentral lists this non-coding RNA (76 nucleotides) under Lacrimispora saccharolytica. RNAcentral describes it as "Clostridium saccharolyticum Fluoride sequence". It matches the Rfam family "Fluoride riboswitch aptamer (crcB RNA motif)". RNAcentral also lists the same sequence under 1 other name. The record is from RNAcentral. Lineage: Bacteria; Bacillati; Bacillota; Clostridia; Lachnospirales; Lachnospiraceae.
AAUAGCCAAGGGAAUGAAGUUCUCCCUGCGCUGUUAAAGCCGAACCGCUUAUUAAGCUGAUGACUUCUGCGAUUAU